This 253-nucleotide ribosomal RNA is filed under the name uncultured bacterium. RNAcentral's name for it is "partial 16S ribosomal RNA". It matches the Rfam family "Bacterial small subunit ribosomal RNA", at positions 524 to 776 of the family's 1533-position model. The record is from RNAcentral.
UACGAAGGGUGCAAACGUUGCUCGGGAUUAUUGGGCGUAAAGCGCACGUAGGCGGCUUUGCAAGUCCCAUGUGAAAGCCCACGGCUUAACCGUGGAAGUGCAUGGGAAACUGCAGAGCUUGAGUACUUAAGAGGAUCGCGGAAUUCCCGGUGUAGAGGUGAAAUUCGUAGAUAUCGGGAGGAACACCAGUGGCGAAGGCGGCGAUCUGGGAAGAUACUGACGCUGAGGUGCGAAAGCGUGGGGAGCAAACAGG